UUGACUAUGUAAUGAGAAUUGUUAUUAUUAACUCAACUGGUCGCGAGAUCAGCCAGGUAAGCAAAGAGUCCCUCAUCAGGCUCUUCGGUUAUCUCCUCAUCAGGCUAAUCACGGUUAUUGACCCGGCACUUUGCCGGGUCUUUUUUUU
RNAcentral lists this small RNA (148 nucleotides) under Pseudomonas kuykendallii. RNAcentral describes it as "PrrF RNA". It matches the Rfam family "PrrF RNA". Rfam says of the family: PrrF RNA is a small RNA involved in iron homeostasis and is found exclusively in Pseudomonas species. Their expression is induced under iron limitation by the ferric uptake regulator (Fur) and they act to negatively regulate several genes including sodB and sdh. The record is from Rfam by way of RNAcentral. Lineage: Bacteria; Pseudomonadati; Pseudomonadota; Gammaproteobacteria; Pseudomonadales; Pseudomonadaceae.